RNAcentral lists this ribosomal RNA (253 nucleotides) under uncultured bacterium. RNAcentral describes it as "partial 16S ribosomal RNA". It matches the Rfam family "Bacterial small subunit ribosomal RNA", at positions 524 to 776 of the family's 1533-position model. The record is from RNAcentral.
UACGUAGGGUGCGAGCGUUAAUCGGAAUUACUGGGCGUAAAGCGUGCGCAGGCGGUUAUGCAAGACAGAUGUGAAAUCCCCGGGCUUAACCUGGGAACUGCAUUUGUGACUGCAAAGCUGGAGUGCGGCAGAGGGGGGUAGAAUUCCGCGUGUAGCAGUGAAAUGCGUAGAUAUGCGGAGGAACACCGAUGGCGAAGGCAGUCCCCUGGGCCUGCACUGACGCUCAUGCGCGAAAGCGUGGGGAGCAAACAGG